This 253-nucleotide ribosomal RNA is filed under the name uncultured bacterium. Its description in RNAcentral is "partial 16S ribosomal RNA". It matches the Rfam family "Bacterial small subunit ribosomal RNA", at positions 524 to 776 of the family's 1533-position model. The record is from RNAcentral.
UACGAAGGGGGCUAGCGUUGCUCGAAAUGACUGGGCGUAAAGGGCGCGUAGGCGGCGGUCACAGUCAGAUGUGAAAUUCCUGGGCUUAACCUGGGGGCUGCAUUUGAUACGUGGUUGCUUGAGUGGGGAAGAGGGUCGUGGAAUUCCCAGUGUAGAGGUGAAAUUCGUAGAUAUUGGGAAGAACACCGGUGGCGAAGGCGGCGACCUGGUCCGUGACUGACGCUGAGGCGCAAAAGCGUGGGGAGCAAACAGG